CCUACGGGCGGCAGCAGUGGGGGAUAUUGCACAAUGGGGGGAACCCUGAUGCAGCGACGCCGCGUGGGUGAAGAAGCGCCUCGGCGCGUAAAGCCCUGUCAGCAGGGAAGAAAAUGACGGUACCUGAAGAAGAAGCCCCGGCUAACUACGUGCCAGCAGCCGCGGUAAUACGUAGGGGGCAAGCGUUAUCCGGAUUUACUGGGUGGAAAGGGGGCGCAGACGGCGAUGCAAGCCAGGAGUGAAAGCCCGGGGCCCAACCCCGGGACGGCUCUUGGAACUGCGUGGCUGGAGUGCAGGAGGGGCAGGCGGAAUUCCUGGUGUAGCGGUGAAAUGCGUAGAUAUCAGGAGGAACACCGGUGGCGAAGGCGGCCUGCUGGACUGCAACUGACGUUGAGGCCCGAAAGCGUGGGGAGCAAACAGGAUUAGAUACCCCAGUAGUC
This 440-nucleotide ribosomal RNA is filed under the name uncultured bacterium. RNAcentral describes it as "partial 16S ribosomal RNA". It matches the Rfam family "Bacterial small subunit ribosomal RNA", at positions 338 to 795 of the family's 1533-position model. The record is from RNAcentral.